Molecule: ribosomal RNA, 497 nt
Filed under: uncultured bacterium
Lineage: Bacteria
Description: partial 16S ribosomal RNA
Rfam family: Bacterial small subunit ribosomal RNA
Source: RNAcentral
GAUGAACGCUGGCGGCGUGCCUAAUACAUGCAAGUCGAGCGAACGGACGAGAAGCUUGCUUCUCUGAUGUUAGCGGCGGACGGGUGAGUAACACGUGGAUAACCUACCUAUAAGACUGGGAUAACUUCGGGAAACCGUAGCUAAUACCGGAUAAUAUUUUGAACCGCAUGGUUCAAAAGUGAAAGACGGUCUUGCUGUCACUUAUAGAUGGAUCCGCGCUGCAUUAGCUAGUUGGUAAGGUAACGGCUUACCAAGGCAACGAUGCAUAGCCGACCUGAGAGGGUGAUCGGCCACACUGGAACUGAGACACGGUCCAGACUCCUACGGGAGGCAGCAGUAGGGAAUCUUCCGCAAUGGGCGAAAGCCUGACGGAGCAACGCCGCGUGAGUGAUGAAGGUCUUCGGAUCGUAAAACUCUGUUAUUAGGGAAGAACAUAUGUGUAAGUAACUGUGCACAUCUUGACGGUACCUAAUCAGAAAGCCACGGCUAACUAGGUG